CAUUGAAGACUCGAGUGACGAGAUCGAAGGAGUGCACGGGUAAUUCAAGGAUCUGAAGAUUCAAGGAGCACCAAAUUCAAGGGGUACUUGAAGUUUGGGGGAGCUUUGUUUUACAUAGGAGUUGAAGAAUUAGGGCUUUAAUUUGAAGGAACUCUUGUAAACAUUGUAAUCAACUUUUCAUACAUAGUGGAUGACCUUGGUGAAGGCGUACUUCAUCAAGUAGAGUAGACGUAGCCCUUAGCGAGGACGAAC
This 252-nucleotide long non-coding RNA is filed under the name Medicago truncatula (barrel medic). RNAcentral describes it as "long non-coding RNA (MTRU_LNC000401)". Lineage: Eukaryota; Viridiplantae; Streptophyta; Magnoliopsida; Fabales; Fabaceae. The record is from RNAcentral.